Molecule: ribosomal RNA, 372 nt
Filed under: uncultured organism
Description: partial 16S ribosomal RNA
Rfam family: Bacterial small subunit ribosomal RNA
Source: RNAcentral
GUAGGUGGCAAGCGUUGUCCGGAAUUAUUGGGCGUAAAGCGCGCGCAGGCGGUUCUUUAAGUCUGAUGUGAAAGCCCACGGCUCAACCGUGGAGGGUCAUUGGAAACUGGAGAACUUGAGUACGGAAGAGGAAAGCGGAAUUCCACGUGUAGCGGUGAAAUGCGUAGAGAUGUGGAGGAACACCAGUGGCGAAGGCGGCUUUCUGGUCUGUAACUGACGUUGAGGCGCGAAAGCGUGGGGAGCAAACAGGGAUUAGAUACCCUGGUAGUCCACGCCGUAAACGAUGAGUGCUAAGUGUUAGGGGGUUUCCCGCCCCUUAGUGCUGCAGCUAACGCAUUAAGCACUCCGCCUGGGGAUACGGCCGCAAGGCUG